GACGAACGCUGGCGGCGUGCUUUACACAUGCAAGUCGAACGGAAGGGCCCGGCUUUUUGGGGGUGCGCGAGGGGCGAACGGGUGAGUAACACGUGAGUAACCUGCCCUGGACGUUGAGAUAACGUCAGGAAACUUGGGCUAAUAUCGGAUAGGAGCUCCUGCUGGAGGGUGGUGGGUGGAAAGUGUCUGCGGUUGGGGAUGGACUCGCGGCUUAUCAGCUUGUUGGUCGGGUAGUGGCUUACCAAGGCUGGGACGGGUAGCCGGCACGAGAGGGUGAACGGCGACAAUGGGACUGCGAUACGGAGCAGUGUGGUACGGUAGGCAGUAGGGGGGAACAUUAUCCAACGGGGCCACGCCUGAUGCAGCAGCGUCGGGUGCGGGAUGAUGGUCUUUGGGUUAUGAAACGCUUUAGCAUGUUACGAACCGUGAAUGACGGUAACGGGUAAAGAAGCACCGGCUAACUACGUG
Molecule: ribosomal RNA, 468 nt
Filed under: uncultured bacterium
Lineage: Bacteria
Description: partial 16S ribosomal RNA
Rfam family: Bacterial small subunit ribosomal RNA
Source: RNAcentral